UUAAGAAAAUAAGUGCAAGCGGUGGAUGCCUUGGCAUUCAGAGGCGAUGAAGGACGUGAUAAUCUGCGAUAAGCUUCGGUUAGCUGGUAAAUGAGCUAUGACCCGGAGAUUUCCGAAUGGGGGAACCCACCUGACACAAGUUGGGUACUCACUCGAUAUAGAGUGUAGAGCGAACGAGGGGAACUGAAACAUCUAAGUACCCUUAGGAAGAGAAAUCAAUUGAGAUUCCCGUAGUAGUGGCGAGCGAAGUGGGAAGAGCCUGGUAUGAUUUAGCUGUAAUUAUAGUAGAACAAGUUGGGAAGCUUGACGAUAGAGGGUGAUAGUCCCGUAUACGAAAUAAUCACAGUGGAACUAAGCAUACGAACAAGUAGGACGGGGCACGUGGAACCUUGUCUGAAUAUGGGGGGACCAUCCUCCAAGGCUAAAUACUCCUGAAUGACCGAUAGUGAACUAGUACCGUGAGGGAAAGGUGAAAAGAACCCUUAUAAAGGGAGUGAAAUAGAAUCUGAAACCGCUUGCAUACAAGCAGUAGGAGCAUGAUUUAGUCAUGUGACUGCGUACCUUUUGUAUAAUGGGUCAGCGAGUUAUUUUUAGUGGCGAGGAUAACUGAAUAAGGG
Molecule: ribosomal RNA, 617 nt
Filed under: Francisella tularensis
Lineage: Bacteria; Pseudomonadati; Pseudomonadota; Gammaproteobacteria; Thiotrichales; Francisellaceae
Description: partial 23S ribosomal RNA
Rfam family: Bacterial large subunit ribosomal RNA
Source: RNAcentral